UACAGAGGGUGCGAGCGUUGUCCGGAAUCACUGGGCGUAAAGGGCGCGUAGGCGGUCUCUUAAGCGUGUGGCGAAAGCCCGGGGCUCAACUCCGGGUCGGCCGUGCGAACUGGGGGACUGGAGCUUGUCAGAGGCAGGCGGAAUUCCCGGUGUAGCGGUGAAAUGCGCAGAUAUCGGGAGGAACACCAAUUGCGAAGGCAGCUCGCUGGGACGUUACUGACGCUGAGACGCGAAAGCGUGGGGAGCAAACAGG
Molecule: ribosomal RNA, 253 nt
Filed under: uncultured bacterium
Lineage: Bacteria
Description: partial 16S ribosomal RNA
Rfam family: Bacterial small subunit ribosomal RNA
Source: RNAcentral